UACGAAGGGGGCUAGCGUUGCUCGGAAUCACUGGGCGUAAAGGGUGCGUAGGCGGGUCUUUAAGUCAGGGGUGAAAUCCUGGAGCUCAACUCCAGAACUGCCUUUGAUACUGAGGAUCUUGAGUUCGGGAGAGGUGAGUGGAACUGCGAGUGUAGAGGUGAAAUUCGUAGAUAUUCGCAAGAACACCCGUGGCGAAGGCGGUUCUCUGGGACGGUACUGACGCUGAGACGCGAAAGCGUGGGGAGCAAACAGG
Molecule: ribosomal RNA, 253 nt
Filed under: uncultured bacterium
Lineage: Bacteria
Description: partial 16S ribosomal RNA
Rfam family: Bacterial small subunit ribosomal RNA
Source: RNAcentral